RNAcentral lists this ribosomal RNA (75 nucleotides) under Ilumatobacter sp. Lineage: Bacteria; Bacillati; Actinomycetota; Acidimicrobiia; Acidimicrobiales; Ilumatobacteraceae. The record is from RNAcentral.
AACACGGAAGUUAAGCCUGUCAGCGCCGAUGGUACUUGGAGAGAGAUCUCCUGGGAGAGUAGGACGUCGCCCGAU